GGGGGCCCGCAAGCGGUGGAGCAUGUGGUUCAAUUCGACGCAACGCGAAGAACCUUACCUGGGCUCGAAGCGCAGUGGACCGGGGUAGAAAUAUCCCUUCCCCUUAAAAGGCUGCUGCGUAGGUGCUGCAUGGCUGUCGUCAGCUCGUGUCGUGAGAUGUUGGGUUAAGUCCCGCAACGAGCGCAACCCUUAUCCCUAGUUGCCAUCGGGUCAAGCCGGGCACUCUAGUGAAACCGCGCGGGAUAACCGCGAGGAAGGUGGGGAUGACGUCAAGUCCUCAUGGCCUUUAUGUCCAGGGCUACACACGUGCUACAAUGGCUGGUACAAACCGUCGCAAACCCGUGAGGGGGGGCUAAUCGGAAAAAGCCGGCCUCAGUUCGGAUUGGAGUCUGCAACUCGACUCCAUGAAGCUGGAAUCGCUAGUAAUCGCGGAUCAGAACGCCGCGGUGAAUACGUUCCCGGGCCUUGUACACACC
RNAcentral lists this ribosomal RNA (476 nucleotides) under uncultured bacterium. RNAcentral's name for it is "bacterial SSU rRNA". It matches the Rfam family "Bacterial small subunit ribosomal RNA", at positions 915 to 1391 of the family's 1533-position model. The record is from RNAcentral.